Molecule: ribosomal RNA, 423 nt
Filed under: Triticum aestivum (bread wheat)
Lineage: Eukaryota; Viridiplantae; Streptophyta; Magnoliopsida; Poales; Poaceae
Description: partial small subunit ribosomal RNA
Source: RNAcentral
AUGUCAUGUCGUAUCUUAACAACAAUGAUGAUCUGGAAGCAGAACAGGGUGAAGAAGAAGCAGGCUACGGUGAUCGAAGAGUGGAGGAGGAAAGACAUGAUUAUGAUGGCUCCGGUGACCCAAUGCUGGUGCAAGACGGAGCCCGUGGUGACGGUCUUCCCUUGUCAUAUGUCAGGUGGCGAGGACGUGUUGGUACGAUCGAACAACUUGGUCAUGGGGUACUUGUCGAGUGCCUCUUUGGCACGCAGAAAAUUAAUCAGUCGAAGUAGAGGCACCGUUUGGCAUAACUGGAAACAGUUCCAAGAUGAACAAACAAGGUCAAGUACUGGCAGCAAAGCAAGUAUACAUAGGAAUCUUACUUGUGGAACCAAGGAAGCAUGGCUAGAAGAGAGUAUGCGUACAAUCAGCCCAAGAAUUAAUUAA